RNAcentral lists this long non-coding RNA (311 nucleotides) under Elaeis guineensis (African oil palm). RNAcentral's name for it is "long non-coding RNA (EGUI_LNC002091)". Lineage: Eukaryota; Viridiplantae; Streptophyta; Magnoliopsida; Arecales; Arecaceae. The record is from RNAcentral.
ACUCUUUUGAUUCGGGCUUAUCAUCUUAGAGCAAUCCAUGGAUAUUUUACUGCCAUGAUGAUAAGGUCUCCUGAUUGAUCCUAUCCUUUUGAAACACUAAAGGACAUACCUGAGAUGGACAAACCAAAAUUAUUAAACUUUAUUAAUCCAAUAUUUGACACAGGAUAGACAAGAAUCAUAGCAUCUGGCUGAAGGCUUUAAACAUAGUACUUUUUGGGAGGCAAUCCAACCUUUUAUUUUUUCUAACCCUUUGUUUUAGUGAUUUUUAUUUUUUAGGAAUAAUAAACAACUCCUUAUGGAAGCAUCUGGCA